This 72-nucleotide transfer RNA is filed under the name Quedenfeldtia moerens. Its description in RNAcentral is "tRNA-Leu". The record is from RNAcentral. Lineage: Eukaryota; Metazoa; Chordata; Lepidosauria; Squamata; Sphaerodactylidae.
ACUUUCAAAGGAUAACAGUCAUCCACUAGCCUUAGGAGCUAGGACACCUUGGUGCAACUCCAAGUGAAAGUA